UCCGCCGUGCAGGCCGUGGCGUCACCACCCCCUCCCGGACACCUCCCCCGGGGCGGCCACUCCCCCAGCGGCCCAGGCGCUGCGCACCGCCAGGCCUGACUUCCGGGCGCUCCCUAUCCGCGGCCCGAGAGGGGGAAGACCAGGUACUUUGAUGGGGGGUGGGGCUGCUAGGUUCGUGAAAGCCCGGAGUGAAAGUCCUCGGGCGGAAGGAGACCCGGCGGUGCGUUCUUCGGGUAAUCUGGAGCCUGGGCGCACGUCGGGGCUGGCGAGGUGGUGGAGCUCCCAGCCCAGGACACUCGACCCCCCCUUCCCGAUGGCCGGCUGAUGGCCUGCACCCCUCCAAGCACCACCUUCCCUGGGCUUUGGGAGGUUGCACUUCCUUCUGAUCGUUUGCAAAAAAAAAACAACUCAAAUUCUGAGCCUUCCCUUCCCCCAGCCUGAGAGCCUGGCACCGCUUCAAGGUCCUGGGGUGAGAGGGAAAAGGCGAUCUGUCCGCGGGAGGCCCUGCAGUCACCUGGUUUGGAGUUACCUGGAGUGUUUUGAGGACUGCAGAUCAGGACUUGGACCCCCGCCCAGGAAAUCAGACGGUCUGAUGAUGAGACUAGGAAUCUACGCUGUCGGGUAAAUAACUGGAAUGAGAUUUCUGGGUCACAAGUAUUUCUGGGUCAUGUGAUGAAUGUAUGUUAAAAGUAAAAACCACUGAACCAUUUUCCAGAACAAUGAGUUUAUAGUUGUUCUGCAUCCUCCCUUUGUUUUUAUUUUUACUGUAAUCAUUCCAGUAAUAACCAUAAUUCAUUAAGGUUUUAAUUUGUAGUUCUCUAAUAAAUAAUGAUAUUGAAUAUCAUU
Long non-coding RNA from Dipodomys spectabilis (banner-tailed kangaroo rat), 846 nucleotides. RefSeq lists it as uncharacterized. The transcript is spliced from 2 exons. Lineage: Eukaryota; Metazoa; Chordata; Mammalia; Rodentia; Heteromyidae. The record is from RefSeq and is a predicted model, not a curated record.